Molecule: ribosomal RNA, 376 nt
Filed under: uncultured bacterium
Lineage: Bacteria
Description: bacterial SSU rRNA
Rfam family: Bacterial small subunit ribosomal RNA
Source: RNAcentral
UACGUAGGUGACGAGCGUUGUUCGGAAUUAUUGGGCGUAAAGGGUUCGUAGGAUGUUUAUUAAGAUUGGUGUGAAAUACCAAGGCUCAACCUUGGAACUGCAUUGAUUACUGAUGAACUAGAGUAUCGUAGAGGAAAGCGGAAUUCCAGGUGUAGCGGUGGAAUGCGUAGAUAUCUGGAAGAACACCGACAGCGAAGGCAGCUUUCUGGGCGAUAACUGACUCUGAGGAACGAAAGCAUGGGGAGCAAACAGGAUUAGAUACCCUGGUAGUCCAUGCCGUAAACGUUGUGUGCUUGGUCUGAGCGGAUUCAACCCUGUUCGGAUCGGAGUUAACAUGUUAAGCACACCGCCUGGGGACUACGGUCGCAAGACUAAA